GGCCUUUUGAUUAUAAUUUAAGGUCUGACCUGCCCAAUGAGAAAUUAAAUGGCCGCGGUACUUUGACCGUGCAAAGGUAGCAUAAUCAUUAGUUUUUUAAUUGAAAGCUGGAAUGAAAGGUUGGAUGAGAAAAUAACUGUCUCUAUUUAAAUUUUUUAGAAAUUUAUUUUUAAGUUAAAAAGCUUAAAUAAUAUUAGAAGACGAGAAGACCCUAUAGAGUUUUAUUAAUUUUUAUUAUUAAUUUUUAAGUAUUUACUUCUUUAUAAUAAAAAUUAAUUUGAUUGGGGUGAUUGAAAAAUUUAAUAAACUUUUUUUAUAUAUAUACAUUUAUUUAUGAUUAAAUGAUCCUUUUAUAAAGAUUACAAGAUACAAUUACCUUAGGGAUAACAGCGUAAUUUUUUUAAAGAGUUCAAAUCGAAAAAAAAGAUUGCGACCUCGAUGUUGGAUUAAAAUAAAAUUUUGGUGUAGAAGCUAAAGUAUUUAGGUCUGUUCGACCUUUAAAAUUUUACAUGAUCUGAGUUUAAACCGGUGUGAGCCAGGUUGGUUUCUAUCUCUAUUAAAUUUUAAUAUCUUAGUACGAAAGGACCAGAUAUUUAAUUAAAAAUUUUAAAUUUGAAUAAAAUU
This 624-nucleotide ribosomal RNA is filed under the name Antarctobius sp. ANM2. RNAcentral's name for it is "partial 16S ribosomal RNA". It matches the Rfam family "Bacterial large subunit ribosomal RNA", at positions 1819 to 2788 of the family's 2925-position model. Lineage: Eukaryota; Metazoa; Arthropoda; Insecta; Coleoptera; Curculionidae. The record is from RNAcentral.